GCAAGUCGAACGAGGCCCUUUUGGUUUACUAGAAGGUGUCCUAGUGGCAGACGGGUGAGUAACGCGUGAGCAAUGUGCCUUUUUUCUGGGGAUACCGUUUGGAAACGAACGUUAAUACCGAAUGUGGUCAUCGCGGGGCAUCUCGUGGUGAUUAAACUGUUAGGGAGAGAAGAGCAGCUCGCGUACUAUCAGCUAGAUGGUGGGGUAACGGCCUACCAUGGCGACGACGGUUAACUGGUCUGAGAGGAUGAUC
RNAcentral lists this ribosomal RNA (253 nucleotides) under uncultured bacterium. RNAcentral's name for it is "partial 16S ribosomal RNA". It matches the Rfam family "Bacterial small subunit ribosomal RNA", at positions 57 to 305 of the family's 1533-position model. The record is from RNAcentral.